CUUGCUUUCUUUGCUGGCGACCGGCGCACGGGUGAGUAACACGUAUCCAACCUGCCCUUUACUCGGGGAUAGCCUUUCGAAAGAAAGAUUAAUACCCGAUAGCAUAAUGAUUCCGCAUGGUUUCAUUAUUAAAGGAUUCCGGUAAAGGAUGGGGAUGCGUUCCAUUAGGUUGUUGGUGAGGUAACGGCCCACCAAGCCUUCGAUGGAAAGGGGUUCUGAGAGGAAGGUCCCCCACAUUGGAACUGAGACACGGUCCAA
RNAcentral lists this ribosomal RNA (258 nucleotides) under uncultured bacterium. RNAcentral describes it as "partial 16S ribosomal RNA". It matches the Rfam family "Bacterial small subunit ribosomal RNA", at positions 75 to 334 of the family's 1533-position model. The record is from RNAcentral.